Long non-coding RNA from Macaca fascicularis (crab-eating macaque), 1935 nucleotides. The record is from Ensembl. Lineage: Eukaryota; Metazoa; Chordata; Mammalia; Primates; Cercopithecidae.
GUCUGUGUAUAAGGCAUUUUUAUGCAUAUAUUUAAAGAAAACAACAUUUCAAAAUAGCAAUGAGUGCGUUUUGAAAACAAGAUGUUUUGAGACGUCAACCUCCUAGUAAAGCAUAGUAGUUGGCAUUGAGAUAAUUUAAAAACAAAGACACUUGCACAGACAAAUAUGAAUGACUCUAAGUUGAAAUGUAUUAACCACCAGUAGUUAUUUUUUCAAGGACAGUAUCUGGAAGAGCAUCAGACACUAGUGAGAAGUCCUUAUUCACUGUAAAAGAAGGUAGGUCUGUUGCAACAAUGGGGAAGAAACAACUGCAUCUUAGUAGAGCCCUCACCAUCUACCCAUGCAUACUGGAAGCAGAGUUUAUCCCACGGGACAAAUUUAUGAACUGGGAAGAUUCUUUAAGAUAAGAUUUUGCCGCAUUGCUUAUGUUAGCAAAUGUAAGAUAUAGCUAUAAAAUCAAUGCCCUUAUUUUAAAAUUGAGAAAUACUAAAAUUAUUUUUUCAAGUUAUUUCACUUUAUUUCAAGAAAAAUAUGAAUUCUUUACUCAAAGCAGAGCAACGGAAGUCAAUUUUUGUUUUGAAAAAUAAAUCCCCAACACAACUCAGCUUUUAUUAUUAGUUCUCAUGCUGGCUCAUAUGCCGAUCAACCUGAAGCUUUUGAAAUACAAAAACAGGAGCUCAAUGAGGAGACAGAGUUGAUAUCCCACCAAUGGCUUGACAUGAUUACAUGAGACCAUGUACUUAGAAACCAAAUAUGUGUUUCAGCAAACAUUUCUGGUUGAAGGAUUGGCUGACAAACAUGUCGGGAUGUUUAGACUUUUGUUCCCCAAACUUCAAAGUUGUAAUUAAAAGAAUAGAAAAAGCCUCAAGGCUUCAUUAUUACUAUUAUUAGUUUUGUCCAUUAAAAGUAGCAUUCUGAAAAAAUGCUGUUCAUAGGCACAGGUGUUUACAAACAGUGCAGUCUCCUUAGAGGUUCAUCUGAUUUUCACUCUCUAGAUUCUAGUCUGGAAGACCUAUUACUUUCAAUCAACCUAUUUGUAAAGAUCUAAUAUUUUAUUAUUUACAGAAUAAUGCCAUAAGGCACAUAUUUCAUAGCUGAUGUUCAAUAUAGUGUAUAUAUUGUAUGUUCAUGACUGGAUUCUAUUUUUUACAAAACUGAGCUAAAAUUCCUUAGAUUGACUGUUUGUAAGAAAGACUCAUUACCACAUGAACGAGAAUCUAACUUUUUUGAAAAUGGCUAAAUAGUGCCAUUAUGUUUAGAUGAAAGGAAACAAGAUACUUCUGUGAAGAAUAUCCAGGUCAUCUCUAUUUUUGUUUAAAAUCUCUUUCACAUAUUUUGUCAGUUACAUACUACACAUCUAUUAUAAUAUUUGGAAACUUUUCCUUGGGUUGUUUUGGAAUUAAAAGUAGAACAAUAAUUCAGGUAAUCCAGGUAAAUGUUUGUUUCACAGUUAUAUAACUUAGCCAUGUCCUGUUCACAUAUUCUAUAAGAAAAGUGCCUACGUAUAUUUUAAUGUAUGAAAAUAGGCUCCAAUUAAAUGAAAGAACAGCAAUAGCCUGACAAAGCUUGCCUUUGUACCUGGAUUCUACUAAAAAGGAAAAUCAAUCAAGUGAUCACUAUUGAGUGAUAGUUUCUGAUUUUAUAUUGCAAAUAUGUCUAUACAUAUUUAGAUCUAAUGUGAACAGAAAUUCAGGAAGGAGCCAGUUGCUUUUCUUUUCUUUUUACUGAGACAGAGUCUUGCUUUGUCACCCAGGCUAGAGUGCAGUGGCAUGAUCUUGGCUCACUGCCAACUGCCACCACCUGGGUUCAAGCAAUUCUCCUGCCUCAGCCUCUCGAGUAGCUGCGAUUGCAGGUGUCUGCCACCAGGCCCAGCUAAUUUUCUUUCUUUCUUUUUUUUUUUUUUGUAUUUUUAGUAGAAACAGAGUUUUGCCAUCU